This 451-nucleotide ribosomal RNA is filed under the name uncultured bacterium. RNAcentral's name for it is "partial 16S ribosomal RNA". It matches the Rfam family "Bacterial small subunit ribosomal RNA", at positions 28 to 507 of the family's 1533-position model. The record is from RNAcentral.
GAUGAACGCUGGCGGCGUGCCUAACACAUGCAAGUCGAGCGGCAGCGAGGGGUGCUUGCACCCUGUCGGCGAGCGGCGGACGGCUGAGUAACGCGUGGGAACGUGCCCCAAAGUGAGGAAUAACUGCCCGAAAGGGUAGCUAAUACCGCAUAUUAUCUUCGGAUCAAAGGAUUUAUCCGCUUUGGGAGCGGCUCGCGUCGGAUUAGGUAGUUGGUGAGGUAAUGGCUCACCAAGCCGACGAUCCGUAGCUGGUCUGAGAGGAUGACCAGCCAGACUGGAACUGAGACACGGUCCAGACUCCUACGGGAGGCAGCAGUGAGGAAUCUUCCACAAUGGGCGAAAGCCUGAUGGAGCAACGCCGCGUGCAGGACGAAGGCCUUCGGGUUGUAAACUGCUUUUAUAUGUGAGGAAUAUGACGGUAACUUAUGAAUAAGGAUCGGCUAACUACGUG